Styela clava is the source of this 361-nucleotide non-coding RNA. The record is from RefSeq and is a predicted model, not a curated record. Lineage: Eukaryota; Metazoa; Chordata; Ascidiacea; Stolidobranchia; Styelidae.
UGGGACUGCUGUGGCAAGCAAAGCAAAUUUGAACACAAUCUAAUAAUUGAGAAUCAGCAUUCAACCGACCAAGAGUUCAGAGCCAACUGUAGAUUCGAUCUUCAACUCAGAAGCCAGAGAUAAUCGGGAUACCGAUUGGCAACGUUGAUUUAUAUCUCGGGGAUUUACAAACGGAGCUUUUCCCCACGAUAGAUUGCCAUUUCUCUUUUUGGACGACAAAACUGUAUUUCGGUAUUUUCAAAUUGAAUUCUACAAACAAAAGCUUCAUUCAGCAGGCUAAGUAUGAAAAACCCUCUCGUGAAUUUCUUUUUAAACCUCACUUCAUUACUCACCCAAGUUUCCAUGGAUUGACAAUGAUGGA